AUACGUAGGGUGCAAGCGUUAAUCGGAAUUACUGGGCGUAAAGCGUGCGCAGGCGGUUUUGUAAGACAGUGGUGAAAUCCCCGGGCUCAAACUGGGAACUGCCAUUGUGACUGCCAGGCUGGAGUGGGGCAGAGGGGGGUGGAAUUUCGCGGGUAGCAGUGAAAUGCGUAGAUAUGCGGAGGAACACCGAUGGCGAAGGCAAUCCCCUGGGCCUGCACUGACGCUCAUGCACGAAAGCGUGGGGAGCAAACAGGAUUAGAUACCCUGGUAGUCCACGCCCUAAACGAUGUCAACUGGUUGUUGGGGAUUUAUUUUCUCAGUAACGAAGCUAACGCGUGAAGUUGACCGCCUGGGGAGUACGGCCGCAAGGUUAAAACUCAAAUGAAUUGACGGGG
RNAcentral lists this ribosomal RNA (395 nucleotides) under uncultured bacterium. RNAcentral describes it as "partial 16S ribosomal RNA". It matches the Rfam family "Bacterial small subunit ribosomal RNA", at positions 523 to 918 of the family's 1533-position model. The record is from RNAcentral.